This 364-nucleotide ribosomal RNA is filed under the name Klebsiella pneumoniae. RNAcentral describes it as "bacterial SSU rRNA". It matches the Rfam family "Bacterial small subunit ribosomal RNA", at positions 1 to 359 of the family's 1533-position model. The record is from RNAcentral. Lineage: Bacteria; Pseudomonadati; Pseudomonadota; Gammaproteobacteria; Enterobacterales; Enterobacteriaceae.
ACUUAAAUUGAAGAGUUUGAUCAUGGCUCAGAUUGAACGCUGGCGGCAGGCCUAACACAUGCAAGUCGAGCGGUAGCACAGAGAGCUUGCUCUCGGGUGACGAGCGGCGGACGGGUGAGUAAUGUCUGGGAAACUGCCUGAUGGAGGGGGAUAACUACUGGAAACGGUAGCUAAUACCGCAUAACGUCGCAAGACCAAAGUGGGGGACCUUCGGGCCUCAUGCCAUCAGAUGUGCCCAGAUGGGAUUAGCUAGUAGGUGGGGUAACGGCUCACCUAGGCGACGAUCCCUAGCUGGUCUGAGAGGAUGACCAGCCACACUGGAACUGAGACACGGUCCAGACUCCUACGGGAGGCAGCAGUGGGG